RNAcentral lists this unclassified non-coding RNA (248 nucleotides) under Hevea brasiliensis (rubber tree). Lineage: Eukaryota; Viridiplantae; Streptophyta; Magnoliopsida; Malpighiales; Euphorbiaceae. The record is from RNAcentral.
UUUGUUGUUGAUUAAACAUAAGCAGGAAUCAAACCUGUUGUCUCUUCAUUACAUUACAUUAAUGUGGUAAUAAUCACAAAGAUUACAAAUCAUUUCUAUCAUCUAUGAGUAAAAUUUAACAGCGAAAAGAAUAACAAGAUAUAAUUCCUGCUUAUGUUUAAUCAACAACAAAGCAGGUUGAUGAAACUUAAGUAGUUUGAAAAGCAAAGCAUUAUUACUAACCUUCAUCAAUGUAAAUAAUCACUAAU